AGGAUCAACCAGGUAGCAUUCCUCACAGACAUCGAGUUACAAGAUGCGAGACAUGCUUGCAACACCAAACGUCAUCCGAAUGGGGCAUGUAAUGCCAAUAUAUGGGCAAAUAGAGGUCAAGACCCCGUACCCGCAAGGUGUUCCGCAUCCCGAAGGUCAAGAAAAAUUCAUGGGCCGUGAUGAAAACGCGAUACGUUUACAAAACGGGACACGAAUUUUACUUUCGUGUUUGUCCGAAGCCGCACCGUUUGCACGGGCAGCAGUGGGCAAAUCGGUAAAAAAUUGUCCAACGAUUUCCAUCAGCGUAGGUAUGUAACACAGAAAACCAACAACACGGACAAGGCUAAGACUAGCUCUUGUGCCGAAUAUUGAAGAGGAAUGCACGGUAGGACGUCGUUGCCCAAGCAAGGAUCCAA
RNAcentral lists this unclassified non-coding RNA (416 nucleotides) under Palicourea ostreophora. RNAcentral describes it as "Psychotria ostreophora partial external transcribed spacer". Lineage: Eukaryota; Viridiplantae; Streptophyta; Magnoliopsida; Gentianales; Rubiaceae. The record is from RNAcentral.